AGGUUUUAAGUUAACUUAAACUAUGAGCCUUCAAAGCUUAAAAUAAAAACCAUUUUUUAAACCUUG
This 66-nucleotide transfer RNA is filed under the name Alcithoe benthicola. RNAcentral's name for it is "tRNA-Trp". The record is from RNAcentral. Lineage: Eukaryota; Metazoa; Mollusca; Gastropoda; Neogastropoda; Volutidae.